CAGCAGCCGCGGUAAUACGGAGGGGGCUAGCGUUGUUCGGAAUUACUGGGCGUAAAGCGCACGUAGGCGGCUUGGUAAGUUAGAGGUGAGAGCCUGGAGCUCAACUCCAGAAUUGCCUUUAAGACUGCCGAGCUAGCAGGUGAGAGAGGUAAGUGGAAUUCCGAGUGUAGAGGUGAAAUUCGUAGAUAUUCGGAAGAACACCAGUGGCGAAGGCGGCUUACUGGCUCAUACUGGACGCUGAGGUGCGAAAGCGUGGGGAGCAAACAGGAUUAGAUACCCCGGUAGUCCCUGUCUCUUAUAC
Molecule: ribosomal RNA, 301 nt
Filed under: uncultured bacterium
Lineage: Bacteria
Description: partial 16S ribosomal RNA
Rfam family: Bacterial small subunit ribosomal RNA
Source: RNAcentral